RNAcentral lists this small nuclear RNA (107 nucleotides) under Nicotiana sylvestris (wood tobacco). Lineage: Eukaryota; Viridiplantae; Streptophyta; Magnoliopsida; Solanales; Solanaceae. The record is from RNAcentral.
GUUCAUCCCUGCGAGGACAUCCGAUAAAAUUGGAAUGAUAUAGAGAAGAUUAACAUGCCCUCAGUUCAAGGAUGACACACACAAAUUGUUAAAUGGUCCAAUUUUUU